AGUGAACGCUGGCGGUAGGCCUAACACAUGCAAGUCGAACGGCAGCACAGUAAGAGCUUGCUCUUACGGGUGGCGAGUGGCGGACGGGUGAGGAAUACAUCGGAAUCUACUUUUUCGUGGGGGAUAACGUAGGGAAACUUACGCUAAUACCGCAUACGACCUACGGGUGAAAGCAGGGGAUCUUCGGACCUUUCGCGAUUGAAUGAGCCGAUGUCGGAUUAGCUAGUUGGCGUGGUAAAGGCCCACCAAGGCGACGAUCCGUAGCUGGUCUGAGAGGAUGAUCAGCCACACUGGAACUGAGACACGGUCCAGACUCCUACGGGAGGCAGCAGUGGGGAAUAUUGGACAGUGGGCGAAAGCCUGACCCAGCCAUACCGCGUGGGUGAAGAAGGCCUUCGGGUUGUAAAGCCCUUUUGUUGGGAAAGAAAAGCAGCAGGUUAAUACCCCGCUGUUCUGACGGUACCCAAAGAAUAAGCACCGGCUAACUUCGUG
This 492-nucleotide ribosomal RNA is filed under the name uncultured bacterium. RNAcentral's name for it is "partial 16S ribosomal RNA". It matches the Rfam family "Bacterial small subunit ribosomal RNA", at positions 29 to 507 of the family's 1533-position model. The record is from RNAcentral.